GUAAAUUGCAAAGAACCCCUAAGUUCCUAGUGCCCUAGUUUUUGCUGCCUCACCCUUUCCUGUUUCCCUUCACGAUUUUCUGCCGAGCUCUAGAGAUCUUCGCCCGACAUGGCAGUUCUUCUCCACCCGAUGCUACGGCUCUCUCUGGCAACUCGUCUUCCCCAUGGCUUCCUCCGCACGUGCCACCUCCGACCGUUCCUGUCCGAGUAGUGGAGCUCGUGCUGGGAGUGGUCCAGGGAUUUCGACGCCACCGAUAAACUCUACAACCCUGACUCUGCUGAUCUCCGUCGACCCCUCCCAGCUCUCUCACGAUCCAGCAGUCGCCGACAACGACCUUAAAACCUUGGACUCUGUUUCCUCAGUCAGCCAUAGUGAUCUGCUGUCGGAAAAGAAGGAGAAGAUUUGAGCGCGAGAGAGAGCACCGAAGUUGAAGAUCACUGGAAUGUUCUACAUUAGAGGUUAGCAUGUAGGAAAUAAAGUCAUGUCGCUCGGAGGUCCUGCUUGCCGGUUCCACAUCGUGCGAGAUGUCCUUAGUUUAUUUUGGUUGUCGUAGCUUUUUGACCUUCUGGUAUUCGAAAUUUGCUUUGAAAUUUGUUAUGAAAACAUGUUUGUUUUGACUUUCGUAGUCGCUUUACUUAGUUGGUUUGCAAAUAAAGCAUGUUGUUUGUUUGACAUGCGCACAUGCAAGAUUGUUCCUAUUUCUACAUUUCAUGUUGGGUUAUGUGAUUGCUCUUGUUGUCUUU
Molecule: long non-coding RNA, 743 nt
Organism: Zingiber officinale
Lineage: Eukaryota; Viridiplantae; Streptophyta; Magnoliopsida; Zingiberales; Zingiberaceae
Exons: 3
Source: RefSeq, a predicted model, not a curated record